Molecule: ribosomal RNA, 653 nt
Filed under: uncultured bacterium
Lineage: Bacteria
Description: bacterial SSU rRNA
Rfam family: Bacterial small subunit ribosomal RNA
Source: RNAcentral
GAAAGGCGCUUUUGCGUCACUGAUGGAUGGACCCGCGGUGCAUUAGCUAGUUGGUGAGGUAACGGCUCACCAAGGCCACGAUGCAUAGCCGACCUGAGAGGGUGAUCGGCCACACUGGGACUGAGACACGGCCCAGACUCCUACGGGAGGCAGCAGUAGGGAAUCUUCGGCAAUGGACGAAAGUCUGACCGAGCAACGCCGCGUGAGUGAAGAAGGUUUUCGGAUCGUAAAACUCUGUUGUUAGAGAAGAACAAGGAUGAGAGUAAAAUGUUCAUCCCUUGACGGUAUCUAACCAGAAAGCCACGGCUAACUACGUGCCAGCAGCCGCGGUAAUACGUAGGUGGCAAGCGUUGUCCGGAUUUAUUGGGCGUAAAGCGAGCGCAGGCGGUUUCUUAAGUCUGAUGUGAAAGCCCCCGGCUCAACCGGGGAGGGUCAUUGGAAACUGGGAGACUUGAGUGCAGAAGAGGAGAGUGGAAUUCCAUGUGUAGCGGUGAAAUGCGUAGAUAUAUGGAGGAACACCAGUGGCGAAGGCGGCUCUCUGGUCUGUAACUGGCGCUGAGGCUCGAAAGCGUGGGGAGCGAACAGGAUUAGAUACCCUGGUAGUCCACGCCGUAAACGAUGAGUGCUAAGUGUUGGAGGGUUUCCGCCCUUCA